AGCCCCGGGGUGUCCACAUCAAAAUGCAAGUUUGAAGAAGAGCCCUAAAAGGCUCCGGGGCUU
This 63-nucleotide transfer RNA is filed under the name Anolis hendersoni. RNAcentral's name for it is "tRNA-Cys". Lineage: Eukaryota; Metazoa; Chordata; Lepidosauria; Squamata; Anolidae. The record is from RNAcentral.